CACUGCCUGCUUGUUGAAGCCUAAUCUCCUCUGAUCUCGGAAGCUAAACAAGGCCAGGACUGGUUAGUACUUGAAUGGGAAACCGCUGGGAGUGCCAGGUGCCACAGUGC
This 110-nucleotide ribosomal RNA is filed under the name Periophthalmus magnuspinnatus. The record is from RNAcentral. Lineage: Eukaryota; Metazoa; Chordata; Actinopteri; Gobiiformes; Gobiidae.